RNAcentral lists this ribosomal RNA (376 nucleotides) under uncultured bacterium. RNAcentral describes it as "bacterial SSU rRNA". It matches the Rfam family "Bacterial small subunit ribosomal RNA", at positions 524 to 898 of the family's 1533-position model. The record is from RNAcentral.
UACGUAGGGGGCGAGCGUUGUCCGGAAUGACUGGGCGUAAAGGGCGUGUAGGCGGCUUUUUAAGUCUGGAGUGAAAGUCCUGCUUUCAAGGUGGGAAUUGCUUUGGAAACUGGAGAGCUUGAGUGCGGAAGAGGUAAGUGGAAUUCCCAGUGUAGCGGUGAAAUGCGUAGAGAUUGGGAGGAACACCAGUGGCGAAGGCGACUUACUGGGCCGUAACUGACGCUGAGGCGCGAAAGCGUGGGGAGCGAACAGGAUUAGAUACCCUGGUAGUCCACGCGGUAAACGAUGAAUGCUAGGUGUAGGGGGUAUCGACCCCUCCUGUGCCGGAGUAAACACAAUAAGCAUUCCGCCUGGGGAGUACGGCCGCAAGGUUGAA